UACCCCACCAGCUAGCCCAGCCCCCAAAAAACAACACCCACCUAUUAAUACUCCAACAUACCCCCCCCCACCAAACCAUUUUCCCACCUUAGUAUGGGAGACAGAAAAGGCACAUAUGAAGCAAUAGAAAAAGUACCGCAAGGGAAAGCUGAAAAAGAAAUGAAACAAACCACAAAGGGAGAAAAAGCAGAGAUUAGCCCUCGUACCUUUUGCAUCAUGAAUUAACCAGCAAUCUUCAAGCAAAGCGCACUUUAGUUUGAAACCCCGAAACUAAGUGAGCUACUCCAAGGCAGCCUAAUAUAUAGGGCAAAUCCGUCUCUGUGGCAAAAGAGUGGAAAGACCUUUGAGUAGAGGUGACAGACCUACCGAACUUAGUAAUAGCUGGUUGCCUAAAAAUUGAAUAAAAGUUCAGCCUUUUGACUCCUUUAACCCACCUGGCACGCGCCUAACCCAGAUAUUAGAAAUCAAAAGAGUUAGUCGAAGGGGGUACAGCCCCCUCGAACCAAGACACAACUUUGCCAGAAGGUAAAAGAUCAUAUCACCCCAGACUCUGUGUCCCAGUGGGCCUGAAAGCAGCCAUCUGAUUAGAAAGCGUUUAAGCUCAAACACUCAUCAAUCACCUAUCAAGACAAAAUAUCUUAAACCCCUAAACCUAUUAGGCCUCUCCAUGCCCACAUGGAAGCGACUCUGCUAGUAUUAGUAAUAAGAAGGCCUAGACCUUCUCCUGGCACCAGUGUACAUCAGAACGAACCCCCACUGAAAAUUAACGUCCCCAAGUAAAGAGGGAAAUGAACAAGACACAAUCGCCCAGAAAAAUGUCCAACUAAUAAACGUUAACCCCACACAGGUGUGCCCAAGGAAAGACUAAAAGGAAGAGAAGGAAUUCGGCAAACACCAGCCCCGCCUGUUUACCAAAAACAUCGCCUCUUGCACCUAGAGUAUAAGAGGUCAUGCCUGCCCCGUGACUUUAAGUUUAACGGCCGCGGUAUUUUAACCGUGCAAAGGUAGCGCAAUCACUUGUCUCUUAAAUAGAGACCUGUAUGAACGGCACAACGAGGGCUAAACUGUCUCCUCUCCCCAGUCAAUGAAAUUGAUCUACCCGUGCAGAAGCGGGGAUAAAACCGUAAGACGAGAAGACCCUAUGGAGCUUUCAGAUAAAGGACAGAUUAUGUUAAACAACCCCAGACAAGAAAUUAAACUAAAUAACCCCUGUCCCCAUCUUUGGUUGGGGCGACCGCGGGGAAACAACUAACCCCCACGUGGAACAAGUAUUCCCACACUCCUAAAGCUAGAGCCACAGCUCUAACACACAGAACAUCUGACCAUACAAGAUCCGGCAUUGCCGAUCAACGAACCAAGUUACCCUAGGGAUAACAGCGCAAUCCCCUCCUAGAGCCCUUAUCGACAAGGGGGUUUACGACCUCGAUGUUGGAUCAGGACACCCUAAUGGUGCAACCGUUAUUAAGGGUUCGUUUGUUCAACGAUUAAAGUCCUACGUGAUCUGAGUUCAGACCGGAGAAAUCCAGGUCAGUUUCUAUCUACGAGAUGUUCUUUUCUAGUACGAAAGGACCGAAAGAGAAGGCCCCUGCUUAAAACAAGCCCUAUCCAAACCUAAUGAAGACAACUAAAAUAGAUAAAAGGACAUAUUCCUUUAACCUAAGAGAAAGGUUU
Molecule: ribosomal RNA, 1671 nt
Filed under: Odontobutis haifengensis
Lineage: Eukaryota; Metazoa; Chordata; Actinopteri; Gobiiformes; Odontobutidae
Description: 16S ribosomal RNA
Rfam family: Bacterial large subunit ribosomal RNA (bases 103-1559)
Source: RNAcentral